RNAcentral lists this transfer RNA (72 nucleotides) under Patescibacteria group bacterium. Its description in RNAcentral is "tRNA-Gln". It matches the Rfam family "tRNA". From Rfam's summary of the family: Transfer RNA (tRNA) molecules are approximately 80 nucleotides in length. Their secondary structure includes four short double-helical elements and three loops (D, anti-codon, and T loops). Further hydrogen bonds mediate the characteristic L-shaped molecular structure. tRNAs have two regions of fundamental functional importance: the anti-codon, which is responsible for specific mRNA codon recognition, and the 3' end, to which the tRNAs corresponding amino acid is attached (by aminoacyl-tRNA synthetases). tRNAs cope with the degeneracy of the genetic code in two manners: having more than one tRNA (with a specific anti-codon) for a particular amino acid; and 'wobble' base-pairing, i.e. permitting non-standard base-pairing at the 3rd anti-codon position. The record is from RNAcentral.
UCCCGAAUAGUGAAGCGGCAUCACAACAGAUUCUGGCUCUGUUAUCCUAGGUUCGAAUCCUAGUUCGGGAUC